RNAcentral lists this non-coding RNA (21 nucleotides) under Caenorhabditis elegans. The record is from RNAcentral. Lineage: Eukaryota; Metazoa; Nematoda; Chromadorea; Rhabditida; Rhabditidae.
UGAAUAUUUAUAACUUUGAAA